Long non-coding RNA from Mastomys coucha (southern multimammate mouse), 522 nucleotides. RefSeq lists it as uncharacterized. Lineage: Eukaryota; Metazoa; Chordata; Mammalia; Rodentia; Muridae. The transcript has 2 exons. The record is from RefSeq and is a predicted model, not a curated record.
CAAAAGGGGUGCCAUGGUAACACCCGGAGGCUGGGUGGACAAGCAUCCAGUGGCUUUGGUUCCUAUAGGAUCAUCCUGACUGAUCAGUAAAUCAAGGGGGCUGUAAAAACUGGAUUGUAAAGGCCAGAGUACAGCGCAUGUGCAGAAGUUGCACCCGCAAAAUGAAGAGCCGUGGAGUGGGGCUAUGGCCGACUCAGCUGCUGGAGAACUAAAGUGUACCAGAGAAGCAGGAAGGGGAUGGCGGAAAGGCCCAGAAGUCAGGUUGUCUGUCAUAUUUAGCCUGAGAAAUAUGAGUGGCUGAGGAGGCACACCACUCAAAGCAAAGGCAGGGCUCGGAUGCUGUUGAAGACCACAUCUGUAUCACCCCCUCUGCAAGAGUCGGGUCGAAGCACAUCUUGACUUACAGAUGGACAGACAGACACACAGGGACAAGGCACCUGCUGGAGCAGGGUAUGGCAGGCUGGGGCUGGGGCUGGGGCCACCUCAGUGACUAUAAUAAAACCUCUUGUUCUGUUAAGUGGA